ACGCUUUUAGUUCAGUGGGUAGAACGCAGGUUUCCAAAACCUGAUGUCGUGGGUUUAAUUUCUACAGGGCGUG
Molecule: transfer RNA, 73 nt
Filed under: Gormaniella terricola
Lineage: Eukaryota; Viridiplantae; Chlorophyta; Chlorophyceae; Chaetopeltidales; Chaetopeltidaceae
Description: tRNA-Trp
Rfam family: tRNA
About the family: Transfer RNA (tRNA) molecules are approximately 80 nucleotides in length. Their secondary structure includes four short double-helical elements and three loops (D, anti-codon, and T loops). Further hydrogen bonds mediate the characteristic L-shaped molecular structure. tRNAs have two regions of fundamental functional importance: the anti-codon, which is responsible for specific mRNA codon recognition, and the 3' end, to which the tRNAs corresponding amino acid is attached (by aminoacyl-tRNA synthetases). tRNAs cope with the degeneracy of the genetic code in two manners: having more than one tRNA (with a specific anti-codon) for a particular amino acid; and 'wobble' base-pairing, i.e. permitting non-standard base-pairing at the 3rd anti-codon position.
Source: RNAcentral